UGUACAUCAAGAGGCCCCAAGAACAGAAACCUAGAGCCCAGUAUGUAGCUCUUCUGUGGUGCCCAGUAUAGGAAGAGGGUCCAACCUGGAGACUGACUUCUCCCAGGAAGCACAGAGGCCUCCUUGCCACCUAGAGAGCACAUUAGAGGCAAGGAGGUGCAGACCUGUAGUAGAUCUAUCAGCUAGGAAGCUGUGUGGACGUUGGUUUUAUUUGGGUUGGAUUGGGUUGACUGGCCUAUUACCUUAGUGUGGAGUCACUCCUAAUGAUGCUUAGCGCGUUAUAUUGAGCAGCUCCACCCCAUGCAAAGCAAAGAUCCUGCACCAAACUACCAGUAAGACCUCCUGGACAAACAGCCAUGUUUCCUUCUGUAUUCUCUUCCAACAGUCACCUCGACGUUGACCCAAAAGACACAGCCCAGUGAUUCUGGACCUCCUGGUCUGCUUUCAGGCUGCUGAAGGCCAGGACACUCAGAACCAUGUGACCAGACUUUUAUGUGCUCAAGACUGUUAAUCUCCUUAAUUGAAAUUGAUUGGCCUCCUGGGACCCAGCUCUGCACUGGCCCUGAGCUUCAGCAGGAGCCAAACCUGAAAAGGCACACAGUUACAAAACAGCUUGGGAGCAACAAAAGCACCUGAUAAAGUAACCGUCAGUCUCAGAGGAACAAACCUACUUUGGGAGACUAAUGUGUGAUAUUGCAGCUCAGACCAGAGCUCAGACCUCGUCCUUGAAGUUUUGAAAUGACCUGCUUUUUCAUAUGUGGAUGAGAGCAAAGCAAAGCGAGCAAUCUUUCUGGUCCUAUCUGUACCAAAGUGCAUGGGGUAGAUGGUAAUAGAGAUUAAGCUUGCAUCUUUACAUGCGUUAGGAAAGCGCUCUACCACCAGGCUUCAGCCCAGGUCAAAAACUUCAGAUACCAUGAACACGUUCUUAGAAUGUUGCAUGCUAUGUAGGUGCAUUUUUCAUCUUUAGUUGCUAUAAUGAAAUAGUUAAAGCUGGACACUUACAGAGAUAAGUUUAUCUAACUCACAGUUUUGGAAUCUAAAGGUCCAAGAUCACCCAGCCCCAUCUGCUUAGCUCUGGUGAGAGCCCUCUGGUUACAUCACAACGUGGCAUCACAAUGGGAGCUCAUAUAAGAGGAGGGAAUCAAGUGGUAGGCAGGAUGCCAAAGAGAUUUCAAAACCCUGCUUGUUCGUUUUAGAACAAUUCACUCUGGCAAGAACCCAUCCCAGAAACCAAUAUUUAUCCCUUCCAAGAGCAAUAUGGCCCUGUGAUGCCCUGCUCCCAGGCCUUCAUCUCUGAAGUG
RNAcentral lists this long non-coding RNA (1301 nucleotides) under Mus spicilegus (steppe mouse). Its description in RNAcentral is "lncRNA (ENSMSIG00000011556.1)". The record is from RNAcentral. Lineage: Eukaryota; Metazoa; Chordata; Mammalia; Rodentia; Muridae.